GCCGCCAUCGUCUAAUGGUUAGGACACCGGGUUUUCAUCCCGGCAAUCGGGGUUCGAUCCCCCGUGGCGGUACCA
Molecule: transfer RNA, 75 nt
Filed under: Candidatus Nomurabacteria bacterium
Lineage: Bacteria; Candidatus Nomuraibacteriota
Also listed under: 1 other name
Description: tRNA-Glu
Rfam family: tRNA
About the family: Transfer RNA (tRNA) molecules are approximately 80 nucleotides in length. Their secondary structure includes four short double-helical elements and three loops (D, anti-codon, and T loops).
Source: RNAcentral